Molecule: ribosomal RNA, 484 nt
Filed under: uncultured bacterium
Lineage: Bacteria
Description: bacterial SSU rRNA
Rfam family: Bacterial small subunit ribosomal RNA
Source: RNAcentral
AGAGUUUGAUCCUGGCUCAGAGUGAACGCUGGCGGCAUGCCUAACACAUGCAAGUCAAACGGGGCUUGGCAGCUUAUCGUCAAGUCAAGUGGCAAACGGGUGAGUAAUACGUCACCAAUCUUCCUUCGAGUGGGGGAUAACUCCGGGAAACCGGAGCUAAUACCGCGUGAGACCACGUCUCGGCAUCGAGAUGAGGUUAAAGUUCCGCAAGGGACGCUUGAAGAGGAGGGGACGGCCUAUCAGCUUGUUGGCGGGGUAACGGCCCACCAAGGCUACGACGGGUAACCGGUCUGAAAGGACGACCGGUCACAAUGGCACUGAGACACGGGCCAUACUCCUACGGGAGGCAGCAGUGGGGAAUUUUGCGCAAUGGGGGAAACCCUGACGCAGCAAUGCCGCGUGGAGGACGAAGGUCUUCGGAUUGUAAACUCCUUUUGCCGGUGAAAAACGACGGUGUGAAUAACACCGACUGAUGGUAACCGGU